RNAcentral lists this ribosomal RNA (250 nucleotides) under uncultured bacterium. RNAcentral describes it as "partial 16S ribosomal RNA". It matches the Rfam family "Bacterial small subunit ribosomal RNA", at positions 57 to 305 of the family's 1533-position model. The record is from RNAcentral.
GCAAGUCGAACGCGAAAGUAGACUUCGGUCUGCGAGUAGAGUGGCGCACGGGUGAGUAACACGUGGAUAACCUGCCCUAUGAUCUGGGAUAACAUUUCGAAAGGGAUGCUAAUACCGGAUAAGCCCACGCUCUCUUCGGAGGAAGUGGGAAAAGAUUUAUCGUCAUAGGAUGGGUCCGCGGUCCAUUAGCUAGUUGGUGGGGUAAUGGCCUACCAAGGCUGCGAUGGAUAGCUGGUCUGAGAGGAUGAUC